This 204-nucleotide long non-coding RNA is filed under the name Elaeis guineensis (African oil palm). RNAcentral describes it as "long non-coding RNA (EGUI_LNC007263)". Lineage: Eukaryota; Viridiplantae; Streptophyta; Magnoliopsida; Arecales; Arecaceae. The record is from RNAcentral.
AUGGUCAUCCAGUCUGCCAUUCCACAGAGAUCAUUUGACAUGGGAAAGAAGGUAUCAUUUUGCCCAUUGCCCAAAGGAUGGUGUCAGAAGGACCAGAAGGCAUGAGGUACCAAAAAAAGGGGCUCAGGGCUAGAACUCACUGUUUCUCAUGUGAUCGUUGGGAUGGAUGGAUCGUAUGCGGAACCCGCCAAACGUGCCCUCAGC